AGUGAACGCUGGCGGUAGGCCUAACACAUGCAAGUCGAACGGCAGCACAGUAAGAGCUUGCUCUUACGGGUGGCGAGUGGCGGACGGGUGAGGAAUACAUCGGAAUCUACUUUUUCGUGGGGGAUAACGUAGGGAAACUUACGCUAAUACCGCAUACGACCUACGGGUGAAAGCAGGGGAUCUUCGGACCUUGCGCGAUUGAAUGAGCCGAUGUCGGAUUAGCUAGUUGGCGGGGUAAAGGCCCACCAAGGCGACGAUCCGUAGCUGGUCUGAGAGGAUGGUCAGCCAAACUGGAACUGAGACACGGUCCAGACUCCUACGGGAGGCAGCAGUGGGGAAUAUUGGACAAUGGGCGCAAGCCUGAUCCAGCCAUACCGCGUGGGUGAAGAAGGCCUUCGGGUUGUAAAGCCCUUUUGUUGGGAAAGAAAAGCAGCAGGUUAAUACCCCGCUGUUCUGACGGUACCCAAAGAAUAAGCACCGGCUAACUUCGUG
Molecule: ribosomal RNA, 492 nt
Filed under: uncultured bacterium
Lineage: Bacteria
Description: partial 16S ribosomal RNA
Rfam family: Bacterial small subunit ribosomal RNA
Source: RNAcentral